Molecule: unclassified non-coding RNA, 456 nt
Filed under: uncultured Mortierella
Lineage: Eukaryota; Fungi; Mortierellomycota; Mortierellomycetes; Mortierellales; Mortierellaceae
Description: sequence contains ITS2
Rfam family: 5.8S ribosomal RNA (bases 1-154)
Source: RNAcentral
AACUUUCAUCAACGGAUCUCUUGGCUCUCGCAUCGAUGAAGAACGCAGCGAAAUGCGAUACGUAAUGUGAAUUGCAGAAUUCAGUGAAUCAUCGAAUCUUUGAACGCAUAUUGCGCUCUUUGGUAUUCCGAAGAGCAUGCUUGUUUGAGUAUCAGUAAACACCUCAACCUCCUUUUGUUUUUUCAAAAGGAGGGUGGACUUGGGCUAUCCCAACAACCUUCACCGGUAGGCGGGCGGCUUGAAAUGCAGGUGCAGCUGGACUUUUAUCUGAGCUAAAAGCAUAUCUAUUUAGUCCUCGUCAAACAGGAUUAUUACUAUUGCUGCAGCUAACAUAAAGGAUAAUUGUCCUCAUUGCUGACUGAUGCAGGAUUUUACGACACUUUAUGUGUUGUUCAACUCGAUCUCAAAUCAAGUAAGACUACCCGCUGAACUUAAGCAUAUCAAUAAGCGGAGGCU